Hirundo rustica (Barn swallow) is the source of this 290-nucleotide long non-coding RNA. RefSeq lists it as uncharacterized. The record is from RefSeq and is a predicted model, not a curated record. The transcript has 3 exons. Lineage: Eukaryota; Metazoa; Chordata; Aves; Passeriformes; Hirundinidae.
GCUUUCUGGCUUCAUCCUUCCCAACACAUAUGUACGUCUGUUGACUUCUUCUGAGACCUUGGAUCCAGAAGACCUGUGUUGCUUGGUCAGCUGCAUGAGAUGGAGACUGCUUUUGAUGGCUUCUGGGAAAAACACCAGCUAAAAAUGGAACAAUAUUUACAACUCUGGAAAUUUGAGCAAAGUUUUCAAGAGGUCAAGAAUGCCAUUGAAUUUUUAAUGGGUCAGCAAGCAGAGCUGCCUGACACUGGCUACAGCAACCCCCAAGUGAAACAGAGGCUCAAGGACUUGGA